GACGAACGCUGGCGGCGUGCCUAAUACAUGCGAGUCGAACGCUGAAGGAGGAGCUUGCUUCUCUGGAUGAGUUGCGAACGGGUGAGUAACGCGUAGGUAACCUGCCUGGUAGCGGGGGAUAACUAUUGGAAACGAUAGCUAAUACCGCAUAAGAGUAGAUGUUGCAUGACAUUUGCUUAAAAGGUGCAAUUGCAUCACUACCAGAUGGACCUGCGUUGUAUUAGCUAGUUGGUGAGGUAACGGCUCACCAAGGCGACGAUACAUAGCCGACCUGAGAGGGGGAUCGGCCACACUGGGAGUGAGACACGGCCCAGACGCCUACGGGAGGCAGCAGUAGGGAAUCUUCGGCAAGGGACGGAAGUCUGACCGAGCAACGCCGCGUGAGGGAAGAAGGGUGUCGGAUCGGAAAGCUCGGUUGUAAGAGAAGAACGAGUGUGAGAGUGGAAAGUUCACACUGUGACGGUAGCUUACCAGAAAGGGACGGCUAACUACGUG
This 495-nucleotide ribosomal RNA is filed under the name uncultured bacterium. Its description in RNAcentral is "partial 16S ribosomal RNA". It matches the Rfam family "Bacterial small subunit ribosomal RNA", at positions 28 to 507 of the family's 1533-position model. The record is from RNAcentral.